RNAcentral lists this long non-coding RNA (1071 nucleotides) under Monodelphis domestica (gray short-tailed opossum). Its description in RNAcentral is "lncRNA (ENSMODG00000045032.1)". Lineage: Eukaryota; Metazoa; Chordata; Mammalia; Didelphimorphia; Didelphidae. The record is from RNAcentral.
AUGCCGAGUCCCCCCGCGGCGGGGGGUUUUCGAGCGAGAGAGGAAUGCUGCUCGAAGUGCUUGACCACGAUCCCGCCGCCCCGGCGCGGUCGUGCCCCCGCCGCUGCAUGUGCGGGCUUCGGGGGGAGGUGGCGAAAAGGGGAAGAGACCCGGCGUCGUCGCCGGGCCCCACCCUCUCCGUGUGGGCGGUUGGGGCCCCGGGUACCCGGUUCCCCGCCUUCGGUCGUCAGGGUCCCGGCUCCCAUGGGGAGGAAAGGGUCGGUGAUUCCCUCGGCCGGAGCGGCGGGGCGGGAGCUUAAGGCGGCGGUGCCUCUCCUCCCCUUUGCCCCCUUCCUCCGCUCCGCCUCAGCCCGCGGUCGGGUGUCUUUUAGGUUCUCCGGGUCCGUGCUCGCCGACGCGGCCGAACCGCCUCGUCCCCACCGGUGGGGCGGGGUCGGCGGUGCCGAGGCCCCUGCCCCGGCGGCUCGAGAGGGGUCCCCUCGACGUGUGGGCCAGCGAGGGCCCCGGCGGUCAGGCGCCGGGGUCGGUCCCGCUCGCUCGAGUGAGCGUCUUCCCUCCGAGAUGGGGAAUUGGGGUUGGCGUGACCGGCCGGGUGUGCCUUGGUCGCUCGUCCCGACCGCCCCGAGGGGCUGGGGCGAAAACUCCCACGCUCCUCUCCGCUGUGCGGUCCUAGCCCGCCGUUGGGGCGUGGGAGGCCUUUCCGCCCCCAUCCUGUCCCGGGUACCUAGCGCGUUCUGGCGCGGAGGUUUAAAGAUUCGGGGGUUGCCCUCCGCUCUCCAGCGGGGUCGGUUCUGUUUUCCCCCCUUCCCCGUCCGCCCUCUUCCGACGGUCUCGGGCCCCUCCUCUUGCCGCGUGCCCCGUCCGCGGGUCUCGCGGCUAGAGGUCGGGGGUUUGGUGCCCCCGAGACGGGAAGGGCGGGUCUGGGUGGGGGGGUCUUGGGACGGCCGCCCCCUGGGUUUGCCGGACGGGCCAGUGGGAAGAGGAGAUGCCUGGCUCCGACUUCUCCCGUUCUCCGGUGUGGUGCUGGGUUCGGGUCCUGGUCGUGGGGGACCGCCCGCCCGCCCUCGGUGA